GAUGAACGCUGGCGGCGUGCUUAACACAUGCAAGUCGAACGAUGAAGCCCUGCUUUUUUGGUGUAUUCGUGUCGAACGCGUGUGUAACACGUGUGUAUCCUCCCCUUUUCUCUUUGAUAUGCCUUCGAAACUCUGUCUAUUACCCCAUAUGAGCGUCCCCCCCAUGUUGUGUGUUUUGAGAUUUGUCGGUUUUUGAUGGACUCGCGGCCUAUCAGCUUGUUGGUGGGGUAGUGGUUCACGAAGGCGACGACGGGUAGCCGGCCUGAGAGGGUGACCGGCCACAAUGGGACUGAGAGACGGCCCAGACUCCUACGGGAGGCAGCAGUGGGGAAUAUUGCACAAUGGGCGGAAGCCUGAUGCAGCGACGCCGCGUGAGGGAUGACGGCCUUCGGGUUGUAAACCGCUUUCAGUAGGGAAGAAGCGAAAGUGACGGUAACGGGAGAAGAAGCACCGGCUAACUACGUG
RNAcentral lists this ribosomal RNA (465 nucleotides) under uncultured bacterium. RNAcentral's name for it is "partial 16S ribosomal RNA". It matches the Rfam family "Bacterial small subunit ribosomal RNA", at positions 28 to 507 of the family's 1533-position model. The record is from RNAcentral.